This 253-nucleotide ribosomal RNA is filed under the name uncultured bacterium. RNAcentral describes it as "partial 16S ribosomal RNA". It matches the Rfam family "Bacterial small subunit ribosomal RNA", at positions 524 to 776 of the family's 1533-position model. The record is from RNAcentral.
GACAGAGGGUGCAAACGUUGUUCGGAAUUACUGGGCGUAAAGCGCGUGUAGGCGGCUAAGUAAGUCGGGCGUGAAAUCCCACGGCUCAACCGUGGAAGUGCACUCGAAACUGCAUAGCUAGAGUCCUGGAGAGGAAGGUGGAAUGCUUGGUGUAGAGGUGAAAUUCGUAGAUAUCAGGAGGAACACCGGUGGCGAAGGCGGGUCUCUGGGCCGAUACUGACGCUGAGGAGCGAAAGCGUGGGGAGCGAACAGG